CGGGGCGUAGCUCAGCUUGGCUAGAGCGCUUGGUUUGGGACCAAGAGGUCCCGGGUUCAAAUCCCGGCGCCCCGACCA
This 78-nucleotide transfer RNA is filed under the name Planctomycetota bacterium. RNAcentral's name for it is "tRNA-Pro". It matches the Rfam family "tRNA". From Rfam's summary of the family: Transfer RNA (tRNA) molecules are approximately 80 nucleotides in length. Their secondary structure includes four short double-helical elements and three loops (D, anti-codon, and T loops). Further hydrogen bonds mediate the characteristic L-shaped molecular structure. tRNAs have two regions of fundamental functional importance: the anti-codon, which is responsible for specific mRNA codon recognition, and the 3' end, to which the tRNAs corresponding amino acid is attached (by aminoacyl-tRNA synthetases). tRNAs cope with the degeneracy of the genetic code in two manners: having more than one tRNA (with a specific anti-codon) for a particular amino acid; and 'wobble' base-pairing, i.e. permitting non-standard base-pairing at the 3rd anti-codon position. The record is from RNAcentral. Lineage: Bacteria; Pseudomonadati; Planctomycetota.